UGCAGAUUCUAUUCAGCCGGGGGAGUGAGAUGGCAGUAGCACUGUAGCAUUGCCAAGUGUGAAGCGGGCCAUGGGUCACUCGUGGGGCUGGCGGCUCGCACAAGGUGCUUAGGAGCCGAUAGUAGUACGUAUGACUCGGUAGAGCAUAUCGUGUAGGACGACGACGGCGGGUAGUGCUUGGGAACGACCCGUGCCUGGACCAUUGUGGACUGUGGAGCCUGGGCCCAUUGGGCAGGCGCAGUCAGCUGUGAGUGACAGCGGCCCGGUACCUAUAGGUAGGGCAGAGUUUUAGUCAGGACGGUAGUCCGAGCUUAG
This 315-nucleotide long non-coding RNA is filed under the name Ananas comosus (pineapple). RNAcentral describes it as "long non-coding RNA (ACOM_LNC039229)". The record is from RNAcentral. Lineage: Eukaryota; Viridiplantae; Streptophyta; Magnoliopsida; Poales; Bromeliaceae.